This 74-nucleotide transfer RNA is filed under the name Alphaproteobacteria bacterium. RNAcentral describes it as "tRNA-Cys". It matches the Rfam family "tRNA". From Rfam's summary of the family: Transfer RNA (tRNA) molecules are approximately 80 nucleotides in length. Lineage: Bacteria; Pseudomonadati; Pseudomonadota; Alphaproteobacteria. The record is from RNAcentral. RNAcentral also lists the same sequence under 2 other names.
GGCGGGUUGGCGGAGUGGUUACGCAGCGGAUUGCAAAUCCGUGUACACCGGUUCGAUUCCGGUACCCGCCUCCA